Non-coding RNA from Caenorhabditis elegans, 89 nucleotides. The record is from Ensembl. NCBI's taxonomy places the organism in Eukaryota, Metazoa, Nematoda, Chromadorea, Rhabditida, Rhabditidae.
AAACUAUGUAAACAAUUGUUUGUUUUAUUGAACUAGUAUUUGUGUUUUUUAGAGGGAUGAAAAGGAUAUGCCUUCAAAAUUUACUCUAA